This 211-nucleotide ribosomal RNA is filed under the name Clostridioides difficile. Its description in RNAcentral is "partial 16S ribosomal RNA". It matches the Rfam family "Bacterial small subunit ribosomal RNA", at positions 1011 to 1222 of the family's 1533-position model. The record is from RNAcentral. Lineage: Bacteria; Bacillati; Bacillota; Clostridia; Peptostreptococcales; Peptostreptococcaceae.
GAGUUCCCUUCGGGGACAUUGGUGACAGGUGGUGCAUGGUUGUCGUCAGCUCGUGUCGUGAGAUGUUGGGUUAAGUCCCGCAACGAGCGCAACCCUUGUCUUUAGUUGCCAUCAUUAAGUUGGGCACUCUAGAGAGACUGCCAGGGAUAACCUGGAGGAAGGUGGGGAUGACGUCAAAUCAUCAUGCCCCUUAUGCUUAGGGCUACACACG